AUUAAAAACCCACUUCAGGCAUCAUCAGCAUGGAGUUCUCAAGUUCAUGUGGCUCCUCACAGUGAACCAGGUCUUAAGGAAAAUGCAGAGGUGCCACAGCAGGAACACGGACAGCGGUCCACCUGAGAGAGAUCGCAGCCAAGCACUCAGCUCCCCGUUCUCAACAGCCCUACAGCAGCCUCAUGCUCCUGAAGCCCAACCUGGAGACACUGGACGACUUCUUCGACCUGCUGUGGAUUGUGGGCGUCGCUGACUUUGUGCUCGAAUAGGUCACCCUCGCCCUGGAGUGCCUCACCGUGGCCCUGCCCACCACCAUCCUGGCCUCGAGUCCAAGGGAAGACCGUCUAAUGACACGGGGAGAAGGCAGGCAUCUGCAAGCCAAGGAGAGAGGCCUCGAAAGAAACCAACCUUGAGGACACCUCCAUCUCAGGCUCCCGGCCUCCAGAACUGGGAGGAAAUACAUGUCUGUCGUUGAGCCCUCCAGUCUGUGGCACUUUGUGAUGGCAGCCCUAGAAGACUAAUACAUCCACACACCAGUUUCCCCACACUUCUGUCCUUUUAAACUCCUUUUAUUUUGAGGAGUUAGUUUUGGGUAAAUAAUAUUGUAAUAUUGCAACAAAGGAGACAUAAUAUUCCCCUUUUUAAAUCAAAGCAUCAACUAUUUAAAAUGCAUAAUUAUAUGCUAGUUUAAGGAACAUUUUUCAAGUUUUCAAAAUUGUGAAGAACCAUAAGUUUAUUUUUAUUUUUUUUAAGAACCAUAAGGCUAAAAAACUUUUCUAAUCUUUAAAAAAGGAUUGUCUAAUCUGAAAAUAUUCCUUUAAAUAUUAAAGUCCUCUAAGGCUUCUGUUUGAAAAAUCAUGGAUAGGACAAUUAACUCAAGGCUAAGGAACCCCUAUGAAUUAAAGAUAAAAAAACCUGACAACAAAUAUAAGAAAAUGUGAAAUGGUUAUUGAUUUAUAAAAAGUUAAUCUAGGCAGACCAUUUCAGGGUAGUGUUUACAUUUAUAAAAGUAAAUGACACCAUAGAUAUAUGUUCAUAUAUAAAUUAAUAAAUAUAUAUACAUACACAUAUUCCCAAGUUCAAGAAAUACAAUGUCAUUUGGAUCACUUCAGACCUUGUGCAAUAAAAGGCUCCAGUCAGAAAAAAAGAAUGAUUUUUUUAAUGUUUGUUUUUUUUUUUAAGUAAAAACUUGAAAAAGGAACAGCCUUAUGUUGCUUGUGGGCUUGUGAUUUUAACUCCAUUAACGACCUCAUUUCAUUCAGCUCUCAACAUUACAAUAUCAUUGUGCUAAUAGAAGAGCUCUAUUUAUUUCACUUCAUUUAUCUGAAUUGUGCUGACUAAGGUAAUUGUGACAUGCAAAAUAUGUCAGUGCAUUAAAACAAUGGUGUAAAAAGAUGAUAUUUUUUAAAAACUCAUGAUGCCAAACAGUACUUUAACUUCUGUCCUUUGGCAAAUUGUUUAAAAUCACAAUCUCUUUAAUUCUUGAAUAAAGCAACAAUCUAAAAAUAAUUUCCAUUAAUGGUAUACAUUAUUAUUAAUUGUUUAAUCAAGAUUUUAACAAAAUCACUAUACUAAUAGUAUGGUUUAUUAACAAAGACCACUGUAGCACACACUUCUUGUUAGGUUACAACUCAGUGGAGCACUAAAUUACUUACUUCUUGUAGUGAGAAGUUAUUCAUUCAUGCUUUUUUUUUUUUUUUUUCAGUUAAAAAAAUCACAGUUGCCUGCUAUGUUUGCCAGUCCUCAAAAUAGGCUUGAGGGGUACAAAGAAACAAAUAUUACUAUGGUGAAAACUUGUUUGGGCUUGUUUCAGAAACAUCUAGUAAUAGCCGUACAAGUGGAAAAAAUAUUUAAGUAGUGUGUUUUAAGCCAGUUAAGUCUUACUUUGAACUUAGUGCUGUUCAGUCACUGUGCUUAAUAAGCAUUUAAACAUUGUCAUCACAUGCUAUAAUUUCAAAUAAAAUGCAUAUGGGAGAUUUGGAAGGUGGCCAUGAGGGGCAGUAUCCCAUUAUCACAAGAAAAACUACUUACAGAUUUUAACUUCAUUGCUAUUACUAAAACCAACAAUUCUAAAGAGAUGGUUUUACCACCACUGAAGAGUGUGUUGAACUAUGCAUCUGUGAAAUUUACAGUAUUUAAAGAGCACUUCUGCUUCCUCAAAUUUGCACUUCUGCAAAUUCAAUCAGGUAACACUUAUUGUUCAAACUCUGUCUAAAAGUACCAGAUGACAGGGACGCCUGGGUGGCUCAGCAGUUGAGCCCUUGCCUUUAGCUCAGGGUGUGAUCCCAGAGUCCCAGGAUUGAGUCCUGUAUUGGGCUCCCUGCAUGGAUCCUACUUCUCCCUCUGCCUAUGUCUCUGUGCCUGCCACCCACCCACCACCCCCAUGUCUCUCAUGAAUAAAUCUUUAAAAAUAAAAUAAAAGUACCAGACAUCAGGUCUUAAUCUAAGGAAGUAUAUCACCUCUUUGAGAUGACAACCAGCCUAUAUGCAUAUUUUAAAAUCUGAAUGAAAUAAAAUGCAUUUUAUAAGUGAUUCACAUAUAUACAGUAUAUUUCUGCUGAUCAAAGAGGGUAGAUCUAACCAAAGAAGGCUGCAAAGAGAAGGUGGUUUGCCCUAAAUAUUAAUGAUGAUUAUACAUGUAUGUCUGUAUGUAUACAGACAUACAGACAUGUAUCAGUGAUGAUACAUACAUCGCUGAUAGAUGAUAGAUUUUAAAAGAUGUUUGUUAAGACAAUAUAUUUCUGACCUUGUGUAGGCUAAGUAGUAGGUUUUGUGAAUGAAUUAAGUUUUCAAAUGCAAAAUAUCUUAUAUUAAAUAAAUCAAUGGUAAAGCUAUUUGUCAACGGGGAAAAGACAAGAUAAGGAAAAAAAACUUAAGUUGAUUGUAGAUUGUUUGAUGUAGAAGUCGUCUUUAUUUUAAAAAGUGCUUAUUAAUAUGCUUCCUCUAUAACCAUGUUCAAUGCCUUUCCCUAAGUUUAUUAGAAAAAAAGGUUAUUAUAAAAAAAUCGAGUCUUCUUCUAAAACAUGGAAGUUACUCAUAAAAAGCCAUAACAUAUUCAUUCUUAUAGGAUAGAAAGAUUUUCAUUAAAACAUACCCUAAUUUCUUAAGAAUACAUAUAAUAAAUUUGAUGUAAGAUGCCAAUGUGAACAUAGGUCUCUAACAUUACACCUUCCCUAAUAUUGACUGAAAUAACCAAAGGAAUUUGAAAUAGGGAAUACUCUGAAUCACCCUGUUAACUAAAAAUUUAUUAUUAACAUAUUUCAAGGAAUUUUAUGUGAUGUGUAGGGUGUUUGGGACCACAUUGAAAGAUAACAGUAAGAGUCAUGGCAAAUAUCCUUGUCUGACAAAAUGGGUUUAAAUUUGUAAGACAAUUUUUCACUCACUGUUAGAAUUAAAUACUGCUUUAUGGUUUUAUUUUGUGAUCAUGAGCCUAAUCUAAGAGUUAAAAACCUUUAUCUCAUAAAAGUGAGAUAGCAUCUUUUUUAAAAAAUUUAUUACCAGUACCUAAUUCAGUACUGAAUUAACACAGGAGUGAAUGAAAAAACUGAAAGAAUGAGUGAAUAAACCCCACUGACAAUUCCUGAAUUAAAGAAGUAAUAGUUGGAUUUAAGAGUGAGCUGAGGAAAAUCUGCUGCCAUGUAUGUGAACUACACAAUGAAGAAGCUUUCCUAUGAUACUCAAAUAUAACUAAGCCAAAUACCAGGCCAGAGGACAAUUGGAUAUUACUAUGUUAAUAUUCUCUUCUUUGAUGUAAUAGACUUUAACACCAAGAUGCAGAACAAGUACAACCACAAUGAGUAUCUUGACCAUAAACGAGCCAAACCAAAAUAGAGAUGCAUAAAAAAUGUCUUGAAUAAAGAUGGCUUUGCCAGCUAGAGGUAGCAGAAGAAGAAAAAACCCUGACACUCAUUCAUACACACCUGCACUCACAAAUGUUAAAAACUGCCAUUUUAAAUCAAUGAUACAAUGAUAGAGAACAUAAUUAGUGUUUUGAAUAUUAUUUGAUAAUAUAGAAAAAUAAAUUAGAUCCUACUUCAUACCACACAAAAUACAUUUCAAGUGACAUUUUGGUAUGGAAUGAACCUGCAAAGAAAUUUUUUUAAAAGUUUGGGUGAAUGUCUUAUCUCAGAAUGGGUCAUGAUCUUAGCAAAAAUGCAAAGGAAUGCAUAUUUGUAAUUGACAGGGUUCAUCUCAGAUAUUCCAUUUUUCAUCACUAGAAGUUGUAUUUCUGUGUUUUUUAUACCUAUCAGAUUUCUACUUAACAUGCUUAAAUUUUAAUUUUCUUGAACAUAGGGAAUUAAAUUAUAAUAAACAUUUUAAUGUCAUUGUCUACUAAUUCUAUCAUCUGUAUCAUUACUAGAUCACUCUCAGACAAUUGAUGUUUCUGUACUCAUUUUGGGUUAUGUUUUCCUGCUUCUUUGCAUAAAUGCUAAUUUUUUUUGGAUGACAGACAUUGUGAUUUUAUCUUGUUAGGUUUUGCAUAGUUUUAAAUUUUGACAAAUAUUUUUUGAUCAUUGUUUUGGGAUAUGGCUACAUUCCUUUGGAAUAGUUUUAUCUUUUGGGAAUCUCCUUUCAGCCUGUAUCAGAGAGGCAGUGCUUAGUAUAAAAAUAAUUUGGCGAACUCGUGACACAGAAGCUGAUCGCCACAUGCACUGAAAGAUAAGGUUUUCUUUCUGGCUGGUGACAAUGGGACUAUUCCCAGUUCUUUACGAACUCUAGGGAUUUUUUUUUUUUUUUGCCCUGAGCACUAUGAGUGGUUCUCUUCCCAACCUUAGUAGUUCCUCUAAACAUAUGCACUGAUAAAUACUCAGAUGGAUUCUCCAGAGUCCUCCGAUUGUAAAAUUAUCCAGAAUUUUCUUCAAGCAGGAAUCAGAAAAUUAUUGUAGGGCUCACCUCAUUUAUUUUUUAUCUUUCAAUGAUAACCAUCUUACUUGGCUCAUUUUGAAUAUCUUGAAAACCACUGAUUUAUAUGCUUUGUCUAUUUAUUCAUUAUGUCAGUCAGGAGGGCAUUUCAUUUCCUGCUAUUCCAGGUUGGCCACAAGCAGGAAGUCUAAUAGCUGACAUUUUAGUUUGUUUAUUGAGUAUAAUAACCUGCAGUAAUCUGCACAAAUCUAGAAGGUAGAUGUACUAGUUUGUUAGGGAUACUAUAACAAACACCACAGACUGAGUGGCUUAAACAAUAGAAAUUUAUUUUCUCACAAUUCUGGAGGCUAAAAGUCUGAGAUCAAGGUGUUAACAGGUUGGUUUCUUCUUAGGUCUCUCUCAUUGGCUUGAGAUGGCUGUCUUCUGUUUAUAUCAUCACAUGGUCCUUCCACUAUGUGUGUCUGUAUCCUAAUCUCCUUCUCUUACAAGGACACCAGUUAUAAUGGAUUAAAGUCCACCUAUAUAACCUUGUUUUAACUUCAUUGCCUCUUUAAGGGUUUUGUCUCUAAAUAUAGUCAUAUUCUGAGGUAAUGGGGGUUAGGUCCUCAGCAUAUGAGUUUUGAGGGAACAGAAUUCAGUCCAUGACAGUAGAGCUUAAGUUUUAACUAAUAUAAACCCAUGUAAUCAGUGCCCUAAAUGGGAAAUAGACAUUACCAAAAUCUCUGAGAGUUCCACAGUACGCCUUCCCAUUCUUUCUGCCUUGCCCCUUCACAGAGGCAACCAACCACUCUUUUGAUGUCUAAUCCCAUAGAUUAUUUAUACCUGUUGUAGAACAUCACAGAAAUAGAAUCACACAGUAUAUGUUAUUUUGUGUCUUGCUUCUUUCAAUGGGAAUGUUUUUGAGAUUCUUCUAUGUUUUCAUGUGAAUCUGUAGUUCAUUUUCUUUAACACUAUUUUAUGAAUAUAUCAUCAUUUUUUCUAUUAUUUUUUUUUGGUGUAAACUUAAGUUGCUUCCAAUGGUUUGUUAUUACAAAGAGUGUUAUAAUGAACAUUUUUGUACAAGUCUUUUGUGGAUGUAUGUUUUUAAUUAUUUGGGAUAAGUCUAUAGGAGAAAAG
Molecule: long non-coding RNA, 5979 nt
Organism: Canis lupus familiaris (dog)
Lineage: Eukaryota; Metazoa; Chordata; Mammalia; Carnivora; Canidae
Exons: 3
Source: RefSeq, a predicted model, not a curated record